RNAcentral lists this ribosomal RNA (406 nucleotides) under uncultured bacterium. Its description in RNAcentral is "partial 16S ribosomal RNA". It matches the Rfam family "Bacterial small subunit ribosomal RNA", at positions 30 to 526 of the family's 1533-position model. The record is from RNAcentral.
AUUGAACGCUGGCGGCGUGCUUAACACAUGCAAGUCGAGCGAGUGGCGGACGGGUGAGUAAUGCAUGGGAACGUGCCUGAUGGAGGGGGAUAACUACUGGAAACGGUAGCUAAUACCGCAUACCAUCAGAUGGGCCCAGGUUGGAUUAGCUAGUUGGUGGGGUAAAGGCUCACCUAGGCGACGAUCCCUAGCUGGUCUGAGAGGAUGACCAGCCACACUGGGACUGAGACACGGUCCAGACUCCUACGGGAGGCAGCAGUGGGGAAUAUUGCACAAUGGGCGCAAGCCUGAUGCAGCCAUGCCGCGUGUGUGAAGAAGGCCUUCGGGUUGUAAAGCACUUUCGGCAGGGAGGCGUUACUCGCAGAAGAAGCACCGGCUAACUCCGUGCCAGCAGCCGCGGUAAUUC